CGCGUGGGGGAGAGGCUCUUGGGUUGUAAACCCCUUUUCUCUGGGAAGAAAGUUGUGAAAGCAACCUGACGGUACCAGAGGAAUCAGCAUCGGCUAACUCCGUGCCAGCAGCCGCGGUAAGACGGAGGAUGCAAGCGUUAUCCGGAAUGAUUGGGCGUAAAGCGUCCGCAGGUGGCAGUUCAAGUCUGCUGUCAAAGACCGGGGCUUAACUUCGGAAAGGCAGUGGAAACUGAACAGCUAGAGUAUGGUAGGGGCAGAGGGAAUUCCUGGUGUAGCGGUGAAAUGCGUAGAGAUCAGGAAGAACAUCGGUGGCGAAGGCGCUCUGCUGGACCAUAACUGACACUCAGGGACGAAAGCUAGGGGAGCGAAUGGGAUUAGAUA
RNAcentral lists this ribosomal RNA (381 nucleotides) under Microcoleus vaginatus. RNAcentral's name for it is "bacterial SSU rRNA". It matches the Rfam family "Bacterial small subunit ribosomal RNA", at positions 398 to 784 of the family's 1533-position model. The record is from RNAcentral. Lineage: Bacteria; Bacillati; Cyanobacteriota; Cyanophyceae; Oscillatoriales; Microcoleaceae. RNAcentral also lists the same sequence under 1 other name.